Molecule: non-coding RNA, 1919 nt
Organism: Camellia sinensis
Lineage: Eukaryota; Viridiplantae; Streptophyta; Magnoliopsida; Ericales; Theaceae
Source: RefSeq, a predicted model, not a curated record
AUUGCAUACUCAAUUGAAUACCUCAUAAAUAAAAUUAAUUCAUAAUAACCUUAAUUCCCAAUUCUCAUAACUUAAUUUACUCCAAUUCGGACCCAAUUAAUCAAAUAUCAAUUUUACAAAUCUGAAUCGAAUAUUUAAUUAAACUCCCAUACAGUCUGAUAUUCGAAAUUAAAAUAAUUUAAUUUACUAAUUAUACCCUCUUGAGCCAUGUAGGAUUUCAAUUUCUAAUUCCAAAAUAAAUCCUCAAUAGAAUCAUAUACGAAUCAGAUUGAAUAAUUCUUAUAAAUCCCAAAUUAAAUUAGAAUAAUGGGCAAUUAAAAUUCAAAUCUCUUUAAUUAAUUAAGUGCUAAUUACUAUACGUGAUAGGGUCGUCACAACUUGUCUUUGAUUCCUAACACUUUUAUAUCUGAUGCUUUGUGUUUUUCUACCAUUUUUUCGGGGAGGGUUAUUUCAAGCAGAGGAAAACUUUAGAAAAUAGAAAGGCGAUCAAAACCACUCUUAGCUACGAGAAGCGUUCUCCUUCCAAGUUAUUGGGAUACAAGUCGACAUACAACUCCAAUAUUCUGCAAAAGUCAAUUCUUUCAGCCUACCUUUAUAAGUGGCCCGAAUCGAAUGAGGAGAUUGAGGUUGAGCAAGUUGGUACAUUCUCUACCGCUGUACAGGGGCCAUGCAAAUUCGAGAGUAGUAAGGGUUACUCUCCACUCCUUUACCAACUAGAGAGGGAGAAGACAUGUCGAGGAACAGAGUAUUAUUAGAUUUACAAGCUGCUGUUCUUGGCACCGACCCUUCCCCAAUUGAGGUUGCUGAUCUGUUACAACCAAACGUCUAUGACCAACUGAGCAAACAUCGGGGGUAGUCUUAGUUGCUGCGACCACGGCUGUAACUGCCUCGAUUUCGAACCAAGCGAAGGGAAAGAAGAAAGAUAAGUGAAAAGGUAAUGCUAGUGCUGGACCGAAAGAGAAGACAUGACCUAAUUUUUGGGAGCCCGAGCUCGAGCACAAUGGCCGAUCGAUUGAUUCUAAUGGCUCGGCUGUGAGUUCGGCUGCUUUGGUUUUCAAUCUUUCGAAGGCUUUGCUUCUUCCACUUGAUAUGGCCGAGCAUAACAUUCAUGUAAACAGUGACUUGAUGAAGAAUGCUUUGCAAUCUAUGGUGGUGGCUAACUAAAAGACUUACCUAGCACUUGGCUAUUAUGAUGAGAUUGAGCAACAGCUUCUUAAAUCGAGAGAGCGGGUUCGUGUGGUGAUUAGGGCUUUGGAGUUAAAAGGAGAAGAAAAAAGAGAUUGAGUAGGAAAAAGCAAGGUUGAAGUAAGGCCUUGCAAUUUCUGAAAAGGCCAGGUUGCUUGCAGCUCAGGCUGUGAAGAAGGAUGAAGCUCAGAUAGUCGAGUUGAAGGUCAGGUUGAUGCUUGCAAAGGACUGUUAUUGGCAGCAAGCUUCGGAUGAGGCCAGUGUUGCUUAUUUAAUUGAGGUCCAUAAAGCAAAAGAUGGGAUUUACGCCCAAGCUUGGAAUGAUGCUUUGACUGCGACCAAGGUGUUAAAGGGUUCUCCUCUUUAUAAGGAGAUCCCAGCAUUAUCAACAGGAAAGGCUCAACCGACCACCCAAUAGAUUGUACCAUCAAGUGCUUCUAUUACACUUCAUGUUGUUGAUCAAUCGACUCUUCCACUAGUACUGUGGUUGGACAGGGUGCUUUGGUUGCACCAAAACCUUUUGCUGAUCUGAUUAUUGUUUAAGAGACCAUGUUGCCGACUGAUUCUAUUGUUCCUUUUGAUGCUCCUCAAAAAUAGCUCUUUCAUUUUUAUGCACUUUUCCUUUUGGCAACUCCCAUUGAGGAGUUUGGUUGCUUUUAGAGGAUGUAAGGUAGAACUUCUUGGUUUUUGUAACUGUUAUAAGAUUAUCGAUGAGAUGUUCUAUGUUUUUGCCA